AUAGGUAACAGUAAAAAACAGUGUAAAAUAUAAAUGCAUAUCAGAAUACAGAAGAUAUAAGUAAAUUAAAUAUGUUCCUAUCUGCUGGGUGGGAAGGUGAGUAAAACCUUUACUCAUGUGAUACAAAGUUUUAUUUUGUGUGUCUUUCAUCCUAGAAUAUAUGGGAAUGUAAUUUAAGGUAUCAACAUGGAUAGUUUGUAUCCUUUGGUGGAAGACUCUUCCUAUCCUUUUUUCAUCCAUGAGCUACAUGCAUGAUUGACAAGAUUGUUCAUUCUGCAAAGAAUCUUUGGAGAAAUGGCACAAAAUCAGUUGUGUUGAUAUGAAACACAUGUAUUCCAGAUGCAGAGGUCUCCCAGUGGAAGACUAAUGUUCACAAUUCAACAAGGUUGUUGAUCACCAGUGAGAAGAGCCAGUGGAAUAAUUAAAGCAUAGGAAAAAAUGUUAUUAAAGAGGAAGAGUUCCAGGAGCUCAGUCUACUUAAUCUAUCAAAUUUAAGAAAAAAGUAAAUAGUGCUGAUGCAGAGGAAGGUUGUGCAAGACUCCGGCUUGAAAAGAAAGUACACUUGAAAUGGUACAUAUUAUUAAGGAAACCCUUGUAUCUGGAAAAAGUAAUUUCAAAAGCUAUGUUAUGGAGUUGCCCUUAAAACAGUAGUUACAUGUACUAAAUGCUGAGGUUCGUGGAAAUGGGCUGGCCAGAUGCAAUCUCACAGAUUUAGCACAGCCCAGCAUCUGCUGUGUUGGCCUGGCCACGUGGAUACCAAGAUCAGUGCAGAUACUUGAUGACCACAGCAAGAUUAUCUGUUACAAGGCUUGAUUUUCCCAAGAGUCAUGUGAAAACACCUGUAAUUUUUAAUUGAUUUAAUUAAUGAGUAAACUGGAUGAAGCUGAAUGUAAGUUUGUGUUUGGAAGAGGAGAUGAAGUGGUGAAGCAAGAGAACCAAUAGUUUUCUCUACUGGGAGAAGGGAAGAGCCUGUUUUCUGCUACAAAGCUCGUGUUUGAGGAGAACAGAGGACACAAGUAGUUUUUACCUGAAAAUGUGCUUGUAUGUUUUCACUGUAUAGCUUUGAUCUGAAAUAACUGGGACAGAGGAGAGUUUUUAGCAGUUCCUUUCUUACAUGGUAAAUGGCAUUUCUUUACAGAUAUCACAUUCAUAGAUAUAUUAAGAAACCACUUUU
Molecule: long non-coding RNA, 1174 nt
Organism: Corapipo altera (White-ruffed manakin)
Lineage: Eukaryota; Metazoa; Chordata; Aves; Passeriformes; Pipridae
Exons: 5
Source: RefSeq, a predicted model, not a curated record